This 1240-nucleotide ribosomal RNA is filed under the name metagenome. RNAcentral's name for it is "bacterial LSU rRNA". It matches the Rfam family "Bacterial large subunit ribosomal RNA", at positions 1564 to 2814 of the family's 2925-position model. The record is from RNAcentral.
UGAAUACGAGACGCUAAGGCGUUGAAGUGGUGUAUGUCAUACUUCCAAGAAAAGCUUGCACUGUCAUAAGUAAAAAAUGCCUGUACCAUAACCGACACAGGUGGGUAGGUAGAGUAUACUAAGGGGCGCGAGAUAACUCUCUCUAAGGAACUCGGCAAAAUGACUCCGUAACUUCGGGAGAAGGAGUGCCUUGUAAUUAAGGCUGCAAUAACAAGAUCCAAGCAACUGUUUACCAAAAACACAGGUCUCCGCUAAGUCGUAAGACGACGUAUGGGGGCUGACGCCUGCCCAGUGCCAGAAGGUUAAAGAAGUUGGUUAGCAUUAGCGAAGCUAGUAACUGAAGCCCUGGUGAACGGCGGCCGUAACAAUAACGGUCCUAAGGUAGCGAAAUUCCUUGUCGGGUAAGUUCCGACCCGCACGAAAGGCGUAAUGAUUUGGAUUCUGUCUCGGAGAGGGGCUCGGUGAAAUAGACUUGUCUGUGAAGAUGCGGACUACCUGCACCAGGACAGAAAGACCCUAUGAAGCUUUACUGUAACUUGAAAUUGAAAUUGGACUUUAGUUGCGCAGCAUAGGUGGGAGGCGUUGAGAAUAUUCUUGCGGGAAUAUUGGAGCCAUUAGUGAGAUACCACUCUUCUAAUGUUAGAUUUCUAACUUUGAAUCAUUAUCUGGUCAAAGAACAGUUUCAGGCGGGCAGUUUGACUGGGGCGGUCGCCUCCUAAACGGUAACGGAGGCGUACAAAGGUUUCCUCUGAACGGGUAGAAAUCGUAUCUAGAGUGUAAAGGCAUAAGGAAGCUUGACUGUGAGACCUACAAGUCGAACAGGGACGAAAGUCGGUCUUAGUGAUCUGACGGUACUGAGUGGAAAGGCCGUCACUCAACGGAUAAAAGUUACUCUAGGAUAACAGGCUGAUCUCCCCCAAGAGUUCACAUCGACGGGGAGGUUUGGCACCUCGAUGUCGGCUCAUCGCAUCCUGGGGCGGUAGUACGUCCCAAGGGUUGGGCUGUUCGCCCAUGAAAGCGGUACGCGAGCUGGGUUCAGAACGUCGUGAGACAGUUCGGUCCAUAUCCGGUGUAGGCGUUAGAAUAUUGAGAGGAGCCUUCUUUAGUACGAGAGGACCGAGAAGGACAUACCUAUGGUGUACCAGUUAUCGUGCCAACGGUAAACGCUGGGUAGCUAAGUAUGGAGUGGAUAACCGCUGAAAGCAUCUAAGUGGGAAGCCCACCUCAAGAUGAGUAUUCU